This 2906-nucleotide ribosomal RNA is filed under the name human oral metagenome. RNAcentral describes it as "bacterial LSU rRNA". It matches the Rfam family "Bacterial large subunit ribosomal RNA", at positions 14 to 2554 of the family's 2925-position model. The record is from RNAcentral.
AGAGUAAGUGGUGGAUGCCUUGGCUAGUAGAGGCGAUGAAAGACGUGCCAGGCUGCGAUAAGUCUCGGGGAGCCGUCAAGGGGCUUUGAUCCGGGAAUUUCUGAAUGGGGCAACCCAGUUAAGCGCGAGCUUAACUACCUAAUAUGGAGCGAACGAGGGGAAUUGAAACAUCUUAGUACCCUCAGGAAAAGAAAUCAAAAGAGAUUACGCUAGUAGCGGCGAGCGAACGCGUAAGAGGGCAAACCGUUAGUUUACUAACGGGGUUGUAGGACUGCGAUAUAGACUAAACUUAGCUAAUAGAAUAAUCUGGAAAGAUUAAGCAUAGAGGGUGAUACUCCCGUAUAUGAAAGCUUUGUUUUACUUAGCGGUAUCCUGAGUAGGGCGGAACACGUGAUAUUCUGUCUGAAGCUGGGUAGACCACUAUCCAACCCUAAAUACUACUACUAGACCGAUAGUGCACAAGUACCGUGAGGGAAAGGUGAAAAGAACUGAGGUGAUCAGAGUGAAAUAGAACCUGAAACCAUUUGCUUACAAUCAUUCAGAGCCCUAUGAUUUAUCAGGGUGAUGGACUGCCUUUUGCAUAAUGAGCCUGCGAGUUGUGAUGUCUGGCGAGGUUAAGGAAACCCGGAGCCGUAGCGAAAGCGAGUCUUAAUAGGGCGUUUAGUCAGAUGCUGCAGACCCGAAACGAUGUGAUCUAUCCAUGAGCAGGUUGAAACCGGUGUAAGAGCCGGUGGAGGACCGAACCCGCUAGCGUUGAAAAGCUAUGGGAUGACUUGUGGAUAGGGGUGAAAGGCCAAUCAAACAUCGUGAUAGCUGGUUCUCUCCGAAAUAUAUUUAGGUAUAGCGUCAUGUAGUAACACUAGGGGGUAGAGCACUGAAUGGGCUAGGGCAUACACCAAUGUACCAAACCCUAUCAAACUCCGAAUACCUAGUGUGUAAUCAUGGCAGUCAGGCGGCGAGUGAUAAAAUCCGUCGUCGAGAGGGGAACAACCCAGACUAACAGCUAAGGUCCCUAAAUCUCAUUUAAGUGGAAAACGAUGUGGAGUUACUUAAACAACCAGGAGGUUGGCUUAGAAGCAGCCAUCCUUUAAAGAAAGCGUAAUAGCUCACUGGUCUAGUGAUUUUGCGCGGAAAAUAUAACGGGGCUAAAAUGAGUACCGAAGCUUUAGAUAGUGUCUAUGAUUAUUUAUACUAGCUUGUCUCUUUGGCAUCUUUAAAUGAGUUUGUAUUUUUCUCAAUCGACAGCCUAUAUGGCUAGUCUCAAUCGAAAAAUACUUCACAACAUUUAAAUCUGCUCAAAGAUACUUCGCUUUUUGCAUUCAAAUUUGAAUGCAACGUCUUAAUCUAAAUUUAGAAAUUUCAAAUUUCUUAGAAUUUUAAAAUUUAGCAACAAAAGCAAAAUAAAAUAAAGGCGAAGUAUUUUUGUCUUUAGGCGAGGCGAAUUUUAGCGAAGCAAGGGAGUUAUCGUUUGGAUAAUGACCGAAGCUGAGCGAAAAUUCAACGAAGCAUAAAGCAAAAAGACAAGCCUAAGUAAAGUAUAAAUACUCAUAGACACUGUGGUAGGAGAGCGUUGCAUUCAGCGUCGAAGGUGUACCGGUAAGGAGCGCUGGAGCGAAUGCAAGUGAGCAUGCAGGCAUGAGUAGCGAUAAUUGGGGUGAGAAUCCCCAACGCCGUAAACCCAAGGUUUCCUACGCGAUGCUCGUCAUCGUAGGGUUAGCCGGGUCCUAAGCAAAGUCCGAAAGGGGUAUGCGAUGGAAAAUUGGUUAAUAUUCCAAUGCCAACUAUAAUGUGCGAUGGAAGGACGCUUAGAGUUAGAGGAGCCAGCGGAUGGUAGUGCUGGUCGAAAGGUGCAGGUUGGAGUUCAGGCAAAUCCGAACUCCUUUAAGCCGAGGCCUUACAGGUGCGUGAAGUUCUUCGGAAUGAAUCGUAAAUCCUUGAUACUGUCGAGCCAAGAAAAGUUUCUAAGUUUAGUUAUAGUUGCCCGUACCGUAAACCGACACAGGUGGGUGGGAUGAGUAUUCUAAGGCGCGUGGAAGAACUCUCUUCAAGGAACUCUGCAAAAUAGCACCGUAUCUUCGGUAUAAGGUGUGCCUAACUUUGUGAAGGAUUUACUCCGUAAGCAUUGAAGGUUACAACAAAGAGUCCCUCCCGACUGUUUACCAAAAACACAGCACUCUGCUAACUCGUAAGAGGAUGUAUAGGGUGUGACGCCUGCCCGGUGCUCGAAGGUUAAUUGAUGACGUUAGCUCUGCGAAGCGUUUGAUCGAAGCCCGAGUAAACGGCGGCCGUAACUAUAACGGUCCUAAGGUAGCGAAAUUCCUUGUCGAUUAAAUAUCGACCUGCAUGAAUGGCGUAACGAGAUGGGAGCUGUCUCGAAGAGGGAUCCAGUGAAAUUGUAGUGGAGGUGAAAAUUCCUCCUACCCGCGGCAAGACGGAAAGACCCCGUGGACCUUUACUACAGCUUGACACUGCUAUUGGGAUAAAAAUGUGCAGGAUAGGUGGGAGGCUUUGAUCCAUAGACGCCAGUUUAUGGUGAGCCAUUGUUGAGAUACCACUCUUUUUUAUUCUGAUAGCUAACUAGCUUGAGUUAUCCUCAAGUAGGACAAUGUCUGGUGGGUAGUUUGACUGGGGCGGUCGCCUCCCAAAAUGUAACGGAGGCUUACAAAGGUUGGCUCAGAACGGUUGGAAAUCGUUCGUAGAGUAUAAAGGCAUAAGCCAGCUUAACUGCGAGACAUACACGUCGAGCAGAGACGAAAGUCGGUCUUAGUGAUCCGGUGGUUCUGUGUGGAAGGGCCAUCGCUCAAAGGAUAAAAGGUACCCCGGGGAUAACAGGCUGAUCUCCCCCAAGAGCUCACAUCGACGGGGAGGUUUGGCACCUCGAUGUCGGCUCAUCGCAUCCUGGGGCU